GGCUACUUUCUGUUUGUUUCCUUUAACAGGAAGGUGUAUAUCCCUUUUCUCCCAUGCCUCAUUUGUUUUCCAUCCUCAGGAAGAAGGAAUUUAAAAAGCUGGAGACUUGAAAGCAUUUUGCUAAAAUAUAUUUACGUGGUGUGCUUGUGAUUGUGAAGAAGAAGUCCAUCUCCCUUUUCCUGAGCCCUGAAAUGACAGAUUCCUCUGGAGAGAUUCAUCUCUGGUUYGUGGUAGCUAUUUCUGUUUGAUUACGUAUGGCAGGUUCUCUACUGCAGUGGUGGUUUCCAUUGAGCUAUAUUAAGAUAGCCAAAGUUGCUUUACUCUUUCAGCAAGAAUAUUUCAUUACAAUAUCAAUCCUGAACUGAUUUUUGUUUUAAUUCUGAAGUUGGAUGCUCUUGAGAUGGCCUGUAAGAACUUUUACAAGAUUCUAAAAGUGAAACUGGCAAAAUUGUUUGAGACAAAGUAAGGAAAUACAAAGAACAGACAUAAAAAGAACAAAAAGAAAAUGAAGUACUUAUUCUGAAAGGUUUUCAGAGUUAAAACUUUAAACUAUUGAAUAUUGUGAUAACAGCACAUGUAUCUUCAUGUGAUAGUGCAGAGGAUUUACAUUUGCAGAAGCAUAUGCAAAAUCAACAGUACUUUGCACAUAAGAAAAUAAGAGAUUCAGUAUUAUUAUUAGUUUCAGGCUUAAUAUUGUUUUAAAACUGAAUCCUCUGGAAGUCAGCUCU
Molecule: long non-coding RNA, 728 nt
Filed under: Dromaius novaehollandiae (emu)
Lineage: Eukaryota; Metazoa; Chordata; Aves; Casuariiformes; Dromaiidae
Description: lncRNA (ENSDNVG00000016707.1)
Source: RNAcentral